RNAcentral lists this ribosomal RNA (245 nucleotides) under uncultured Bacillus sp. Its description in RNAcentral is "partial 16S ribosomal RNA". It matches the Rfam family "Bacterial small subunit ribosomal RNA", at positions 524 to 768 of the family's 1533-position model. The record is from RNAcentral. Lineage: Bacteria; Bacillati; Bacillota; Bacilli; Caryophanales; Bacillaceae.
UACGUAGGUGGCAAGCGUUGUCCGGAAUUAUUGGGCGUAAAGCGCGCGCAGGCGGUCCUUUAAGUCCGAUGUGAAAUCUCGCGGCUCAACCGCGAGCGGUCAUUGGAAACUGGGGGACUUGAGUGCAGAAGAGGAAAGCGGAAUUCCACGUGUAGCGGUGAAAUGCGUAGAGAUGUGGAGGAACACCAGUGGCGAAGGCGGCUUUCUGGUCUGUAACUGACGCUGAGGCGCGAAAGCGUGGGGAG